UUCUUGUAUCUGCCUAUCUGGGGGGUAGAAAUUGAGAACAACUUUCACUUGAAACUGACAUGGCUGCCCUUGAUAUAUCGGGAGAUGGCCGUCUGAGAUGCCACAUUUGCUCCAGAAUUUCGCCUUCUUUUUUCCCCAACUGCCCCCAAUGUGGUUCUGAUACAUUUGUUGCCCUGCAAGUAGAAUCUCAUCCACGUUUGACUCAAGAUUUCUUCCAAAAUCACCUUGAAUCACAACCCAUUUCUGUUCAAAAGCUGAUUUAUGAAAAAAGAGCAAAAGAGCUCAUCAACUCCUUUCAACGGAAAGGAUUUUUACUUCAAACGGAGAGGACGAUAAUAGUACAUAUCAGCAUCAGGCCUGAUUUCGAAUGUUCUCAGAUCAAUACUCUGUUUGCCCAAGAUGCCAUUCGUGACCGGUUUGUCGAUCAAAAUCGGACGUUUAUGCUAAGGCCAAGGUUCGUGGGCGGUGCACCACCAAACUCCACUGCCUACCUUCUCUCUUGUCCGCGUGGUGUUACUGCAACACAAAUAGCAAGUACCCGUUUUGACUCACCUCGCCUAAUACCCCCCCAUUUCCUCGAUGCUACAAAUCCAUAACAUUCCCCUUGUUGGCAUGCCUCUUUUUUGUUCUAUUUGCAAGCUGCCUAAAGAUGAUGUGAGCAGAGAUGAAAUGGAUGAGGAAACUGAUGUGGCGGGUCGACAUUCUUUUAGAGUCUUAAACCCGUGUUCUCAUAUUUUUCACGCAAAAUGCAUCAGCAACUGGUUUCAAAGUGAGCGCCUCGAUUGUCCUCAAUGCCGGUAUAUUGUGCUUACCAGUGAUGAUGAUUUCAAUUUGUGGGCCUCGCUUCAUAAUGAUAGGCUGGCGGUAGAAGGUGGUGCAGGAACUCAUUUGGAAGUUUGAAGGAGAGAGAUCUGUUUAGUGACCUUACUAUUAACUGGUAGAUGUGCAUAUGAAUAUGAUGUAGUAAUUUCUUACUAAUUUGGCAUCUCCUGAACUACUUUUCCACACUCCCUUAAUUCCACAUCUGAGCUAAUUAAACGUUUUAAAUUUUUUUAAAUGUUUAUGUGGUUAUACUUUCUUGUGUGAUGCUGCUAAUGUUUAUUUGGUUUCUAUGCAAAAAAUAGUGGUUUAGUUUAUUAAUUGAGUUGGGUGUGUCAACUGAGCAAAACUAUACAUUCAUGUGAAAAACAUUAAAGAAUCAAUCAUAUACAAGGACCUUGGUAAAAUAUGAAGUCUGUUAGGCAAAAGAGUACUGGGCAUUGUAAAAUAAUGAACUCGCUUGAUACGAGUAAACUCAAUUCGUCGUUGUGGACCUGUAGUCACGAGCAGACAAGUCUAUGUCCAAAAGAAAAAUUGGUUGGCAGAAUCUGUAAAUUAAACCUUUUAUAGCGUAACCUGUGGAUUUGGGGAGAACAGGAUAUGGGUAAAUGGGAAUUGAAAUCUACUUAACUUGUGAAAGUGUUUGAUAUCUAUGAGAAAGGCUAGCUUGGCUUGAGCUGGUUCGUAGCCAGUGGUGGGUUUACUUUAAUUAACUGAUCUCUCUCACUUGCCUGAUACUCACUUUUUGAUGGAAAAAACUAACCGCAGCGAGCUGUUUAUGUCUAGGAAUAAUGCGGGUCGUUGGUGAGGAAGUCUUAAGCCUUCUGGUACCAUUAAUGAUAAUGUAAAUUACAUACGGUACUAUAGUUGAAAUGUUUAGAUUCUGCCUCUGUUUAAGAUAUUAUUGAAGCUUGUGAAUUGUGAUUGUAUGCAACCAGAAUUUGCUUCAGAGUAA
Long non-coding RNA from Erigeron canadensis, 1774 nucleotides. RefSeq lists it as uncharacterized. The transcript is spliced from 3 exons. The record is from RefSeq and is a predicted model, not a curated record. Lineage: Eukaryota; Viridiplantae; Streptophyta; Magnoliopsida; Asterales; Asteraceae.